UACGUAGGGUGCAAACGUUGUUCGGAAUCACUGGGCAUAAAGAGCGCGUAGGCGGUCUGAUAAGUCCUGUGUGAAAGCCCCCGGCUCAACCGGGGAACUGCACAGGAUACUGUUGGGCUAGAGUGCAGGAGGGGAGAGCGGAAUUCCUGGUGGAGCGGUGAAAUGCGUAGAUAUCAGGAGGAACGCCAGUGGCGAAAGCGGCUCUCUGGUCUGUUACUGACGCUGAGGCGCGAAAGCUAGGGGAGCAAACGGG
RNAcentral lists this ribosomal RNA (253 nucleotides) under uncultured bacterium. Its description in RNAcentral is "partial 16S ribosomal RNA". It matches the Rfam family "Bacterial small subunit ribosomal RNA", at positions 524 to 776 of the family's 1533-position model. The record is from RNAcentral.